AACGAGACGUGUGGAGAGGGAGACGGACGCACCGCCCUUCACCUGGCGUGCCGAAGGGCAACGUGGUCAUCAAACAGCUCCUCAUCUGGUACGGGGUGGAUCUGAUGGCGAGGGACGCCCACGGUAACAGCGCGCUGGCGUACGCACGGCAGGCCAGCAGCCAGGAGUGUGUUGACACGUUGCUGCAGUACGGCUGUCCCGAUGAACGCUACCCACUUAUUGCCACGCCCAACCUGUCCCGACGCAACACCAACCGCAACAACAGCUGCAGCAGCACGGGCAGCACCGCACUCAUAUAAACACUACCGCCCCCUUCAGGAGGCCUCCGGGUACUGCGGCUCGCAGGAUAUUAACAGGCUAAACACACAUUGUGACAUUGUAUGCAUAUUACACACUCAAACUCCUGACUGAAAAAACUCCUGACUGACAUUUUUGGAARUGAGGGGCUUGGAGAGAGUCUGAAUUGGGAGAAAUKACUGAACUCUUUUGGGAACCACUACUUCUGCACUCCUUGUCUUAGAGCCGUCRUUGACCUCUUACCCUCUCCACUCUGCCACUAAUCUCACACAGAAGACACUAGCACUCCUGUUGUAGUUGCCGUUGAUGAAGCCCUCUGUCCUUUUGGCUCUCUGCCCCACAUCAUGAUGACCCCCCCCUGCGCUUCGGUCCAAUUGUCAAUUUCCUCACAAGGCCCUCCCCUGUAAAAGCAUGGGGGCAGGAGGUGGCUUGGCGUUACUUCCGGGUGGAGUCAGGUCACCGGCUUCCCUCACUGCUAUCUACCUGGCUGCAUGUAGCCCUAAGCAUGAUGGGACAUGGGGAGGAGGUGGCCAAAAUCACGUGGAAAGCAGCGACACCCCUCUAUAUAUACCCUCUAUUGACUCCCAUCUGCAAUCUUCUCCCAGCUUCAACCCAGGCCACACACACACUAUAUCACUGCUAUAUCAGCUGUAUAGAAACAGAGGCCUGCAGGUUUGGAAAGACUUUGGAUGUUUGAAGAGGGCCUCUGUAGCAUGUUGGGGAAGGGGGGGUUGCUUUUCGCUUAAGUUAUGGGAGCUCUACCUUAUAACAUGAGAACUACGAAGAACUACGAAGAACUACGAAGAACUACAAAGAACUACAAAGAACACUGAUCAACUGAACAGAACUCCUCUUCUGCUCUGCUUCUUUAAAAAAAAAAAUGAAAAAAUUCCUAAAUAUCUGAUAUUCUUUCUAAAUAAAACAGAAAGUGUGAUAGCAUGUCAGACACUUUCUCUUUUGAAUUAAAAAAAGGUUGUUCAUCACGUCCAAA
Salvelinus sp. IW2-2015 is the source of this 1288-nucleotide long non-coding RNA. RefSeq lists it as uncharacterized. Lineage: Eukaryota; Metazoa; Chordata; Actinopteri; Salmoniformes; Salmonidae. The record is from RefSeq and is a predicted model, not a curated record.